Molecule: long non-coding RNA, 1016 nt
Filed under: Homo sapiens (human)
Lineage: Eukaryota; Metazoa; Chordata; Mammalia; Primates; Hominidae
Description: novel transcript
Source: RNAcentral
UGGCGGGCUAGCCACUUCCCAGUCCUGUCCCUACGGGGCAGAAAAAGGCUCGGCAUCCCGGGAUCCGGAGGGUCACUUCCCUCGCUGCAUCCCCAUUGUGCAACUGCCAGUCUAAAAAUUGAUAUAGAUGUCCAGCUCCAACCUGGUUUCAUAGGCAGUGGUAAUACUGGAACAACCUCUUCUCCAAGAUUCUCAGGCAAUCAAAGGCCAUGGAAGAGCCAGCAUGUGGGGAAACUUCUUUAUUCUGCUAUCCAAAUAUAAAAUAUAUACAGAAGUAGCUCCUUUGUCCCUUAACCUUAGUAAGCAAAUUUGAUUAAGCAUUUGAACGCUAUAGAGGUGCAAGGUGGGAGAAAUUCUGCCUCUGCUACUUGGCAGCUCUAUGAUAUUGGGCAAGCCAUUCAUACCACAUUUAUAUUCCUUAUAUCCAAAAUGGACAUAAUAAUACCUUCUUACUUAUCUCACUGGGUUAUUAGAAUGAUCAUAGUGUUUAGGUGGUUGGUUGUUUCAAGGAGGUAAUAAUGUAUGUGAAAAUAAUUGGUAUAUGGAAAAGCAUUAAAUAAUAGUGCUGAAACAUUAUACAUAUUAACAUGCCUUUAAAUCUGUCUCCCUACCAUUCCAUCAUUUAUUUUGGGGGUCAGUUUUACUGAGAUAUAAUUAAUGUAUUAAUAUAAGUGUACAGCUUAAUGAGUUUUGACAAAUGUAUACAGAUAUAUGACUACUACCACAAUCAUGAUAUAGAAUAUAUCAAUGGCUCCCCAAAUUUCCUCAUGCCCCUUUGCAUUUUUAUACUUUAAAAGUCAAUAUAUACCCAAGAGUGGUUAAAACAUACCUUCCCAAAAACUUGUGCGUAAAUAUUCUUAGUAGCAUUAUGUAUGAUAGCCCCAAAGUGGAAACAACCCAAAUAGCCAUCAACUGAUAAAUGGAUAAAUAAAAUAUAUAUUCAUGCAGUGGAAUAUAAUUCAGCCACGAAAGGAAUGAAGUACCAAUGUCUGCUACAACAUGGAUGAACCUUGAAA